RNAcentral lists this ribosomal RNA (210 nucleotides) under Anophryoides haemophila. RNAcentral describes it as "partial Bacterial large subunit ribosomal RNA". It matches the Rfam family "Bacterial large subunit ribosomal RNA", at positions 19 to 235 of the family's 2925-position model. Lineage: Eukaryota; Ciliophora; Oligohymenophorea; Philasterida; Glauconematidae. The record is from RNAcentral.
GCACGGUGGAUGCCUUGGCACUAGAAGCCGAUGAAGGACGUGACGAACCACGAAAGGCUACGGAGAGCUGUAAGUAAGCUAAGACCCGUAGAUAUCCGAAUGGGGGAACCCGGUGCAGCGAUGCAUCAUUAAAUACUGUUAAGGUAUUUAAAGGAAGACGCAGUGAACUGAAACAUCUAAGUAGCUGCAGGAAGAGAAAGCAAAAGCGAU